This is a long non-coding RNA of Teleopsis dalmanni, 435 nucleotides long. RefSeq lists it as uncharacterized. The transcript has 3 exons. Lineage: Eukaryota; Metazoa; Arthropoda; Insecta; Diptera; Diopsidae. The record is from RefSeq and is a predicted model, not a curated record.
UCAAAAUGAAAUGAAGCCUUGCAGUUCAUAUAGAAAUAUUACAGUUGACUUUACAUGCCAGUUCUGGUUUAUUGUCCAAACAGUUAGGCGGUGUUAUUAUGAAUUGCUGUGUUUUAAUGUUUUAAAAUGUUAUUAGAAAUAAUAAUGGCCGCUCUUAAAAUUCUAAAGCCAGCCAACAUCGUUUAAAACAGUUAUACGUCGGGUAAUCACGAUUUCAUCAUCGGAUUCCUAGAAUUUAAAAAAUGAGGCAACAUAACAAAAUUAUACUCAACUAGGAGAAAUUUAUUAUCAAAUAUAUAAAUAAUAUCAAUUAUAAUUUAAAUAUAAAUUCGAAUAUUAAUGUUAUGCAUGCAGUAUUAAUAGUUACCGAUGCCAACAAAACAAAAUAUCGCUUGGUAUGUACUUUGCUAGCUACAGUAAACGAAAACAUUUAAU